This 497-nucleotide ribosomal RNA is filed under the name uncultured bacterium. RNAcentral's name for it is "partial 16S ribosomal RNA". It matches the Rfam family "Bacterial small subunit ribosomal RNA", at positions 28 to 507 of the family's 1533-position model. The record is from RNAcentral.
GAUGAACGCUGGCGGCGUGCCUAAUACAUGCAAGUCGAGCGAACAGACGAGGAGCUUGCUCCUCUGACGUUAGCGGCGGACGGGUGAGUAACACGUGGAUAACCUACCUAUAAGACUGGGAUAACUUCGGGAAACCGGAGCUAAUACCGGAUAAUAUAUUGAACCGCAUUGUUCAAUAGUGAAAGACGGUUUUGCUGUCACUUAUAGAUGGAUCCGCGCCGCAUUAGCUAGUUGGUAAGGUAACGGCUUACCAAGGCAACGAUGCGUAACCGACCUGAGAGGGUGAUCGCCCACACGGGAACUGAGACAGGGUCCAGACUCCUACGGGAAGCAACAGUAGGGAAUCUUCCGCAAUGGGCGAAAGCCUGACGGAGCAACACCGCGUGAAGGAUGAAGGUCUUCGGAUCGGAAAACUCUGUUAUUAGGAAAGAACAAAUGUGUAAGUAACUAUGCACAUCUUGACGGUACCUAAUCAAAAAGCCACGGCUAACUACGUG